AUUGAACGCUGGCGGCAUGCCUUACACAUGCAAGUCGAACGGCAGCACGGGUGCUUGCACCUGGUGGCGAGUAGCGAACGGGUGAGUAAUACAUCGGAACAUGUCCUGUAGUGGGGGAUAGCCCGGCGAAAGCCGGAUUAAUACCGCAUACGAUCUACGGAUGAAAGCGGGGGACCUUCGGGCCUCGCGCUAUAGGGUUGGCCGAUGGCUGAUUAGCUAGUUGGUGGGGUAAAGGCCUACCAAGGCGACGAUCAGUAGCUGGUCUGAGAGGACGACCAGCCACACUGGGACUGAGACACGGCCCAGACUCCUACGGGAGGCAGCAGUGGGGAAUUUUGGACAAUGGGCGAAAGCCUGAUCCAGCAAUGCCGCGUGUGUGAAGAAGGCCUUCGGGUUGUAAAGCACUUUUGUCCGGAAAGAAAUCCUUGGCUCUAAUACAGUCGGGGGAUGACGGUACCGGAAGAAUAAGCACCGGCUAACUACGUG
This 486-nucleotide ribosomal RNA is filed under the name uncultured bacterium. Its description in RNAcentral is "partial 16S ribosomal RNA". It matches the Rfam family "Bacterial small subunit ribosomal RNA", at positions 30 to 507 of the family's 1533-position model. The record is from RNAcentral.